This 588-nucleotide ribosomal RNA is filed under the name uncultured bacterium. Its description in RNAcentral is "partial 16S ribosomal RNA". It matches the Rfam family "Bacterial small subunit ribosomal RNA", at positions 355 to 1375 of the family's 1533-position model. The record is from RNAcentral.
UGGGGAAUUUUGGACAAUGGGCGAAAGCCUGAUCCAGCAAUGCCGCGUGUGUGAAGAAGGCCUUCGGGUUGUAAAGCACUUUUGUCCGGAAAGAAAUCCUUGGCUCUAAUACAGUCGGGGGAUGACGGUACCGGAAGAAUAAGCACCGGCUAACUACGUGCCAGCAGCCGCGGUAAUACGUAGGGUGCAAGCGUUAAUCGGAAUUACUGGGCGUAAAGCGUGCGCAGGCGGUUUGCUAAGACCGAUGUGAAAUCCCCGGGCUCAACCUGGGAACUGCAUUGGUGACUGGCAGGCUAGAGUAUGGCAGAGGGGGGUAGAAUUCCACGUGUAGCAGUGAAAUGCGUAGAGAUGUGGAGGAAUACCGAUGGCGAAGGCAGCCCCCUGGGCCAAAUACUGACGCUCAUGCACGAAAGCGUGGGGAGCAAACAGGAUUAGAUACCCUGGUAGUCCACGCCCUAAAACGAUGUCAACUAGUUGUUGGGGGAUUCAUUUCCUUAGUAACGUAGCUAACGCGUGAAGUUGACCGCCUGGGGAGUACGGUCGCAAGAUUAAAACUCAAAGGAAUUGACGGGGUCAUAGCUGUUUCCU